Nicotiana tabacum (common tobacco) is the source of this 1271-nucleotide long non-coding RNA. RefSeq lists it as uncharacterized. The record is from RefSeq and is a predicted model, not a curated record. Lineage: Eukaryota; Viridiplantae; Streptophyta; Magnoliopsida; Solanales; Solanaceae.
CUAGGAAAUACAGAAACGAUGGCCCCUUGUACUGUUCAUCUUCUUCGCCGAUUCAAACCUUAACUCGCCUAAAACGCAGGCGAGUUCACUCAAAUGGGUCCCUUCUCUCCACGUCACUUUAUUCCAAUGGAUUUCUGUCAGAGAAAAAGAAUAUGCCUUCCGAAUUUGCACGAUAAUUGUACUAUUGAGUGUUUUGCUGGAUGAAUUGGAGUCGUGGAUGGAUGGAAAUCAAUCCAUGCUUUCCAUUUGUCCCUAAAAUCGCUCACAAACAAGGAGAUUUUUCGAAUUUUUGGGCAGAAGCUUCGAGAUUUUUAAGGGUUAUAUAUAAGGUGAGUUUUCUUGUUUAAGGGGUAAGAAAAUAUCAAAGGAAAAAUUUUUAGAAAAAUUAGUGGAGUAAAAACUUUCUAGAGUUCUUGAGUUCCUUUUGUGAGAUUUUUCAGUUUUUUUGUCGUUUUCUUCUGAUUUCUUUUGUUCAGAUUCGAGAUUUUUGUUUUCUUCUGAUUUCUUUUGUUCGAGUUGGUUAAUACAAAAAAAACAAAAAAAAUUGAUACAGAUUCUGAGAGAACAUAUUUUUGAAGAAAGUUUCGGAUAAGAAAAAGAGAAAUUUCGGUUUAUAAUUCUGGGGAUAUCAAAGUUGAUUGAGCUUUAGAGGUGCUGAUUUUGUUGGUUUUGCCGUCAGAAGCUGCUGCUUUCUUCUUGGUUUGCUUGACCUUUAUUUGGUCUUAUUCCUUCUCUUGUUUUGUUUUCAAGGGGACUUUUCUCUUCUUUGUUGUUUACUGCCCAAAUUCUCCCUGUUUCAUAGACGGGAUCUGGAAUAGUGAGUGGAGUUUGGAGUCUUUAUGCUAAAAGGUGAUAUCGGUGGAGGAGUAGUUAUGGAAUGAUACAUAUCUUUUCCAAAAGCCACUUCCUCUAGAUGCCACUUUAUGUGAAGAUAUAUAUAUAUUUGUGAGAAGAGCUAGCUGCUUACUUGCCUACUUUGAGAUUAUUUGGAGGAAAUGCAAAGAUUUUAUAUAGAGAGCUAAGGCUUUAUCUGUGGUGUCUCAUGAAAUUUCUGUGCAACUGAUUAGAGAUUCAUGCUUAUUUCUUGUAGGUUGUGUAUGUACGUGUAUUGUUUGUGUGUAUUUCUGAUGUUUGUUUAUUCACUGUCAAUCAUGUAAAAUUUAAUGACUAAUGUUUAGUCCUUAAUUAGCAGAAUGAAUGUGUGAAGGUUAGUCACAUAUGAAUGUAAAGACUGAUCUCUUUUUAUUUAUUAUUCUUUGUCGUUAUGUGUA